Molecule: long non-coding RNA, 463 nt
Filed under: Homo sapiens (human)
Lineage: Eukaryota; Metazoa; Chordata; Mammalia; Primates; Hominidae
Description: non-protein coding lnc-COMMD6-2:7
Source: RNAcentral
GUCAACCGACUGCGCUAGGAGGCGUGCCGCGGAGUCCUAUUCUGAGACAGACGCCAGGUGGCUACCCAUUGCCAGGCAGCAAGGCCGGAGGACGCCGUGCAGCACGCUUGUAGAUUUUCAGUGGAAACUGGGUAUGGCUGUGAGCUCAGACACUUGCAGAUCUCUUAAGUAUCCUUACGUUGCAGUGAUGCUAAAAGUGGCAGAUCAUUCAGGCCAAGUAAAGACCAAGUGCUUUGAAAUGACGAUUCCACAGUUUCAGAAUUUCUACAGACAGUUCAAGGAAAUUGCUGCAGUUAUUGAAACGGUGUGAAGACGGAUUCUUUGGUUGAUAAAUUGCUAUCAUUCUAAAGUCAUGGACUUCACUUUCGGCAACAAAACUAAAUAAGGAUGGAACAUUUAUUGAAUGAAAAAUGCACUUUUGUUUUUCCAUUUUUUUAAAUAAUAAAAAUCAGACAAACAGGAA